This 253-nucleotide ribosomal RNA is filed under the name uncultured bacterium. RNAcentral's name for it is "partial 16S ribosomal RNA". It matches the Rfam family "Bacterial small subunit ribosomal RNA", at positions 524 to 776 of the family's 1533-position model. The record is from RNAcentral.
GACGAACCGUCCGAACGUUAUUCGGAAUUAUUGGGCUUAAAGGGUGCGUAGGCGGCGCUGUCAGUCAGGUGUGAAAUCCCACGGCUCAACCGUGGAAUGGCGCCCGAUACUGCAGUGCUCGAGGGAGACAGAGGUAAGCGGAACUGAUGGUGGAGCGGUGAAAUGCGUUGAUAUCAUCAGGAACACCAGUGGCGAAAGCGGCUUACUGGGUCUCUUCUGACGCUGAGGCACGAAAGCUAGGGUAGCGAACGGG